RNAcentral lists this long non-coding RNA (3444 nucleotides) under Equus caballus (horse). RNAcentral describes it as "lncRNA (ENSECAG00000051011.1)". The record is from RNAcentral. Lineage: Eukaryota; Metazoa; Chordata; Mammalia; Perissodactyla; Equidae.
AUUUAGCGCGUCAUACACUGUCUUGCUCUCUAACAUUUAAUUUAGUGUCCCUUGGACUCGGUUUCUUCGUCUCUAAGUGCAGUGGAGGCAGAAAGGGAGAACUUCAGAGGCCACUCAGCACCAGCACUCCCUCAGGGCCUGGAGUAAUGAAAGCCAGCACCGUGGGCCAGGCGCCUUGCUGAGUACUUCCUAUGCAUUGUUCACUGGGUUACUUCAACAAUCCCACAAGGAGGAAGUGGUCACACGCCUCUUGCCGUCCCCCCAUUUUAUAGAUGAAGCUCAGAGAGGUUUAGAAACUUGUCCAAAGUCGUCAUGUUACAGAUGAGGAUCUGAGGAACAGAGAGCCCUGUGUUUGCCCAGAGUGCCACCCCCAAGUGCUGCCAGCAAGUGUCAUGUGAGCCCCGGAAUCUGCAUCCCACUGUUUUAUUUUGUCAAUCCUUACAACAGCCAGAUGGAUUCCGUAUUAUGGUGCCCAUUUACAGAGGGGAAAGCUGAUGAGGCUCAGAGAGGUUAAGUAACUUGGCUACUAUCUCACAGUGAGGAAGUGGCAGAGUCCAGGCUGGGAACCAGGGUCAUCCAAAGCCUGUGGUCUAAACACUUAACAACACUGCCUCCCUCCACCAAGCCUGGGGCUCAGGACCAUUAACAGGGACUGAGCCUCCUCUGUCAGGGUGUGGAAUCAGAAUAUAACAACAGCCUCCGGGAGAGGCCCCCAGGGAUCUGCAUUCAGAUGCUGCCCUGAGAGCAGGAGGUCUGAGCAGGGAAGGGAGGGGGGAGCCUGGAACCCAAACAGCAAAGGAGCCCCGGGCCUGGGUGGGCUCCCUGCAGGGGCCUGGGUGACGCGGGCAGCACUGCCAGAGAGAGGCAGCAUCACUUUGUGACUGUGGCCAACACUGUCCACUGGCUGGAGGCUGGUCAGGCACAGCCAGGGUGGCUGGCAGCCGCCUCGGCUCCCAAAAUUCACUAUCGGUCCUAGAUCCUGCGGAAGUUUAUGGUCCAGCAUAAUUCUUCUAAUUGCCAUCGUCAUGGCUAAUAACAUUAUGUGACAGCCAUAAACUCAGAGAGUUGAAGUGGGCCCCGGAGGACAGAACAACUGAAGAUGGUUUGGAUGGGAUUCAGAGGGAGGCAGGAGGGCUCAGGUUGGGGACCAUGGCUGUGCCUUCUGGGGAUGGGUGUCUUUUCACAGAUUCAUUGGAAGCUGCACUCACAGAAGAUCAGGAUGGGCGCAGGGGACGCUGGGUCAUGAGCCGUUCAUCGAUAGAGAUUAUCAGCGCAGAGCUUGAGAUAAUUGUCAGUUGUAAGGUAAGGCUUACAGAAGAAUGGGACACUCCUGGACCCUUAGAACGUCAACAUCACAGGACCCUCAGGGGUGGGCGUGGUAGACACACAGCUGGGUGACCCAACCCAGGCUCCAGAGCCGGCCCAGGCAGGGAGCUUCCAAAUGAUUCUAAUGGAGACCAUCUCAGGCCGACAUCUGAGGACUCUCCCCCGUGGGACCGGGCUGCGUCACUCUCUCCUUCGACCCCAGCCCCUCCAGGACAGGGGUCUCUGCCCAGAAUGGGAGUCAGGGCUUUUAUUGCUUUGGCUCCACUGGGGGCAGGGAGCUGCUCCUCACCCCUCCCUAACGCAGCUCCACUUUCCCGUCCUCACUCUUGCCCCUGCCCGCCAGGCCCCCCGGCCUCUCCUCUCUCACACUGGCUUGUCGCGGGUCCUCCAAGCACAGAGCCCCUCCUGCCUCCAGGCCCUCACGUGUGCUGUUCCCUCUGCCCCGACGGGAUGCCCCUCUUUCUCAUCCCCCCGCGUCCCCAUCUCAUCGUUCAGAUCUCCAUUCUGCUCCCACCUCCACACAAGCCACCUGCGACCCGGCCCGGUCAGGUCCCUGCCCCGUGUUCACAGCCCUGAACCUUUGCUUCAGGGUCACAGUCCCCUUUGCAGUUUGGCGUGAUUGUGGGAUCAUUUGGUAACGGGUCCCGCACUGCGAGCCUGCUGGCCCGGGAGCCCACACAGCCCGGCGCGGAGCACCCAGCCCUGCGGUGGGUCAGAGGACGGCGGCUGGAACCUGACGUCCUGGAGCCCCGUCCGCCUUCACUGACCCGGGGUCGCCUCCCUGAGCCUCGGUGUCCUCAGCUGGAAAUGGGACCCUGGACUCGCGAAAGCGAACCUUGUGUCAUUGCAUCUGAACCCCGAGCUCCGUGGGGGCCGCAGCCCCCGGGGGACGGGGAUUAAAGGAUCACUUCGAAUGACUUUGGCCAUCAGAGUAAGAGAUUCGUCUCCCCAGAACGCUUUCCUUUGACAGUUGGCUUCAGGGAUUUGACAGAAUUCAUUUCUCCAGCAAAUAAGAUCAAGGUAUUAAACAAGACUCAUUCUAUGUGAGGACUCUCUUAACCGCUUGACAUAAUUGUGGGUUAUCCAGGGAGGGUUUGUGGCAAAACCGGUGAGUCUUUUUUGUUGUUGUUCUCAUUCCCUUUGAAGCCUCACGUUUCUGGCACCUGGCAGAGGUCCUGUGAGGGAGGAGUCACCAGACGUGGUGGGCGAAGUGGGGGAGCCCAGGGCCCAGGGGCGCACAGCCCUCAUCCUCCUGCUCCCCUCGGAGCCGGGGCACCCGGAGGGUGCAGAGGAGAGACCUCUGUCCUGCUUGGAAGGUAUCUUCAGAGAGGCCAGCAGAGAGGACAAACUUGAGAGCCAGCAUUAGUCAAUUCCCUGCUUCCUCAUCCCUAAAAACACCUGACUCAAUGACGGUUACCUCCAGGGGCAGUGGCAGCUUCAUAAGCCACAGAUGUGAGCCCAGGGGCAAAGCCUGGCACACAGUAGGACCUCAAGUCAUUUCUUCCCCACCUCACCCACCCCGCAGGCCGCCAGAGAGGGUUUGGGGCCCACUCCUGAUCCACGGUUUACAGAAAUGCCUCUAGAAUAUUCCCCAGCGUCAGCUUCCCUCCCCGACCCUAGACAGUGUCGCUUGUCCGUGUCUUCAGAAAUGACAAGAAUGACGCACAGUGGCUCCAUCUCUGAACACAGCAUGCCUGCAAAUGUCAGACUCCCCACUGAGGGCCUGCAUGUGCACUCAUGUGAGUGGCCAUGUGUGCACACAUGUGAGGGCCCCAUCGGAAAGGACCGUGUACCUCACAUUCUUCAAGGCCUCGAAUGUGACCCUCUGACGCUGUCUCUAACACAGCCACAGGGGCACGGGGCCAGGACAGGUGGAAAGACGAGGGCCCUCCACGAACAGCCUCCAGCGUGUGUCCUGGCUUCCGUUGUCUCUGCCUCACAAGCAGAAGGAAGUUCUCUGGGAGGCUCACAGCAGGGAAGGCCCUGGGCUGCCCUGGGCUCCGAGAGGCUGGCGCUGGGUGGACACGGACGCAGGUGAUGGCACAUCACACCGCAGGUGAGCCCCUGCCCACAGCUGUGGGGCCCUUAUGAGUGUGCCAGUGGACACACAUGUGUGAG